GACGAACGCUGGCGGCGUGCUUAACACAUGCAAGUCGAGCGGUAAGGCCCUUUCGGGGGUACGACGAGCGGCGAACGGGUGAGUAACACGUGGGUGGACCUGCCCUCCAGCUCUGGGAUAAGACCUGGGAAACCGGGGUACUAAUACCGGAUAUGACUCCAUGACGCAUGUUGUGGGGUGGAAAGCCUUGUGCGGCUGAGGAUGGGCCCGCGGCCUAUCAGCUUGUUGGUGGGGUGAUGGCCUACCAAGGCGACGACGGGUAGCCGGCCUGAGAGGGCGACCGGCCGACACUGGGACUGAGACACGGCCCAGACUCCUACGGGAGGGCAGCAGUGGGGAAGUCUUGCGCAAUGGGCGAAAGCCUGACGCAGCGACGCCGCGUGAGGGAUGACGGCCU
RNAcentral lists this ribosomal RNA (397 nucleotides) under uncultured bacterium. RNAcentral's name for it is "bacterial SSU rRNA". It matches the Rfam family "Bacterial small subunit ribosomal RNA", at positions 28 to 417 of the family's 1533-position model. The record is from RNAcentral.